Molecule: ribosomal RNA, 443 nt
Filed under: uncultured bacterium
Lineage: Bacteria
Description: partial 16S ribosomal RNA
Rfam family: Bacterial small subunit ribosomal RNA
Source: RNAcentral
CCUACGGGUGGCAGCAGUGGGGAAUAUUGGGCAAUGGGCGCAAGCCUGACCCAGCAACGCCGCGUGAAGGAAGAAGGCCCUCGUGUUGUAAACUUCUUUUAUUCGGGACGAAACACAUGGCAGUCCCGCAUGCAUCAGCCACGGCUAACUACGUGCCAGCAGCCGCGGUAAUACGUAGGUGGCAAGCGUUAUCCGUAUUUACUGGGUGUAAAGGGGGUGUAGGCGGGAGAGCAAGUCAGACGUGAAAUUCCAGGGCUCAACCCUGGAACUGGGUUUGAAACUGUUCUUCUGGAGUGAUGGAGAGGCAGGCGGAAUUCCGUGUGUAGCGGUGAAAUGCGUAGAUAUACGGAGGAACACCAGUGGCGAAGGCGGCCUGCUGGACAGUAACUGACGCUGAGGCUCGAAAGCGUGGGGAGCAAACAGGAUUAGAUACCCCGGUAGUC